GACGAACGCUGGCGGCGUGCUUAACACAUGCAAGUCGAACGGAAAGGCCCUGCUUUUGUGGGGUGCUCGAGUGGCGAACGGGUGAGUAACACGUGGGUAACCUGCCCUUGACUUUGGGGUAACUUCAGGAAACUGGGGCUAAUACCGGAUAGGAGCUCCUGCUGCAUGGUGGGGGUUGGAAAGUUUCGGCGGUUGGGGAUGGACUCGCGGCUUAUCAGCUUGUUGGUGGGGUAGUGGCUUACCAAGGCUUUGACGGGUAGCCGGCCUGAGAGGGUGACCGGCCACAUUGGGACUGAGAUACGGCCCAGACUCCUACGGGAGGCAGCAGUGGGGAAUAUUGCACAAUGGGCGGAAGCCUGAUGCAGCAACGCCGCGUGCGGGAUGACGGCCUUCGGGUUGUAAACCGCUUUCGCCUGUGACGAAGCGUGAGUGACGGUAAUGGGUAAAGAAGCACCGGCUAACUACGUG
RNAcentral lists this ribosomal RNA (468 nucleotides) under uncultured bacterium. Its description in RNAcentral is "partial 16S ribosomal RNA". It matches the Rfam family "Bacterial small subunit ribosomal RNA", at positions 28 to 507 of the family's 1533-position model. The record is from RNAcentral.